CCUACGGGGGGCAGCAGUAGGGAAUCUUUCACAAUGGGCGAAAGCCUGAUGGAGCAACGCCGCGUGCAGGAUGAAGGCCUUCGGGUUGUACACUGCUUUUAUAAGCGAGAAAUAUGAUGGUAACUUAUGAAUAAGGAUCGGCUAACUACGUGCCAGCAGCCGCGGUCAUACGUAGGAUCCGAGCAUUAUCCGGAGUGACUGGGUGUAAAGAGUUGCGUAGGUGGCAUAAUAAGUAGCUAGUGAAAUCUGGUGGCUCAACCAUUCAGACUAUUAGCUAAACUGUUAAGCUCGAGACCGUUAGGGGUAACUGGAAUUUCUAGUGUAGGAGUGAAAUCCGUAGAUAUUAGAAGGAACACCAAUAGCGUAGGCAGGUUGCUGGGACGGUUCUGACACUAAGGCACGAAAGCGUAGGGAGCAAACGGGAUUAGAUACCCGAGUAGUC
Molecule: ribosomal RNA, 442 nt
Filed under: uncultured bacterium
Lineage: Bacteria
Description: partial 16S ribosomal RNA
Rfam family: Bacterial small subunit ribosomal RNA
Source: RNAcentral